Molecule: long non-coding RNA, 951 nt
Organism: Carassius gibelio (silver crucian carp)
Lineage: Eukaryota; Metazoa; Chordata; Actinopteri; Cypriniformes; Cyprinidae
Exons: 3
Source: RefSeq, a predicted model, not a curated record
CUUUCAGCCAACGGGGUCGCUGCGCCUCCGCUUUCCACGCGAGGACCUUCACACAAGCCUGUAAUGAAAGAGACGGAGCUUUGUGCCCUAAACUAAAAAAAACAAAACAACAAAAAACACCAGAACCCGAACCCGACUCAUGAAUUAAAACAACGAAUUGUCUGUGAGAGGCCAGUAGAGGAGCGUCUGUCUGUCUGGAGAAGGCGGAUGAUGGAGUUCCCGCAGCAGCCUCAGCAGCAAAGACCCGCGGGGGACGGGAAGAUCAUCUACCCGCUGGGUGUCAAAGAGAUCACUGAUAAAAUCAGCAACGAUGAAGUCGUCAAACGACUCAAGAUGACGAAUUGGUUGGACUGGAUGGCCAUGAUGUUGUCAUCUGUUCUGUACUUGAUCACAAGCAGUCACACAAAUUUCCUGUAACAGGUUAAAUGGCAUUUGUGAGCCUAGUUUAGUUCUAGUUAAUGUACAUAUACCUGUAAUAGUGCACUAAUAAUAAUUGCAGAAUGCAGCGAUAAUAUAUCUAUUGCUCAGGCAUUUAGUUGCGAUGAACAUGGAGGCUAGAGGUUAAAUGAAUAGCUCACACAAAACUGAACAUUUUCUCAGACUUGGGCCAUCUAAGCUGAUGAGAUUAAUUCUUUUUCAGAAUAGAAUUUAGUAAAUUUAGCAUUACAUCACUUGCUUACUAGUGGAUCCUCUGCAGUGAAUGGGUGUUGUUUGAAGGAGAGCAUCACAAUAAUUCACGACACAAUUCCUACAUCUUGGAUAUCCUAAAGCUGACUACAUUUAAUUAGCUUGAUGUGAUCAUACCUGCAACUUGGAGAGUUAAUUUCUGUGGAAAAAUGCAUUAAAUUUGCACUGACAUACGGAGCAAAACUGUAUCUAGUGAAUAUUAAAAUGUUGAGGUGUGCACUUUUGAUUUGGGUCAGUAAACAACUAAUUUCUUGUUGUCGUUUU